CGCUGGCGGCGUGCCUAAUACAUGCAAGUCGAACGGUCUUUCUAUGGAAGCUUGCUUCCACUGAGAAGAUAGUGGCGAACGGGUGAGUAACACGUGGGUAACCUGCCCAUAAGAGGGGGAUAACAUCCGGAAACGGGUGCUAAUACCGCAUAGUUUUUCUUGAUCGCAUGAUUGAGAAAGGAAAGACGGCCUUUGUGCUGUCGCUUAUGGAUGGACCCGCGGCGUAUUAGUUAGUUGGUGAGGUAAUGGCUCACCAAGACGAUGAUACGUAGCCGACCUGAGAGGGUGAUCGGCCACAUUGGGACUGAGACACGGCCCAAACUCCUACGGGAGGCAGCAGUAGGGAAUCUUCCGCAAUGGACGAAAGUCUGACGGAGCAACGCCGCGUGAGUGAAGAAAAGGUUUUCGGAUCGUAAAACUCUGUUGUCAGAGAAGAACAAGUUGGAGAGUAACUGCUCCAGCCUUGACGGUAUCUGACCAGAAAGCCACGGCUAACUACGUGCCAGCCGCCGC
Molecule: ribosomal RNA, 513 nt
Filed under: uncultured bacterium
Lineage: Bacteria
Description: bacterial SSU rRNA
Rfam family: Bacterial small subunit ribosomal RNA
Source: RNAcentral